Molecule: long non-coding RNA, 642 nt
Organism: Oreochromis niloticus (Nile tilapia)
Lineage: Eukaryota; Metazoa; Chordata; Actinopteri; Cichliformes; Cichlidae
Exons: 4
Source: RefSeq, a predicted model, not a curated record
AUGGUAUCUGAGGUCCAGGAGAGAUGACCUGCGCUGUUUUCCUCUGAGGAGAUAUCUGAAAAUUUCAUCGGAUCACAAGCAAAGACCUCCUGGGGACCUUCAAUGCAUCCCUUGACAAAUUUGUGCCUGGCCUGCUGAAACUGUACUGGUCUAAGGAGGGAGCUCUUGGUGAGGAGAUGGAAGACCUCCUGGAUAAACUUGAUGAACAGACAUCCAACACUGUGUCCAACGGGCACUGAGAGGCCUGCCCAUUUUCCUCAAGAGAAGAUGCAACAGAGGUUUUCCUGAAGUGCUUAGACACUGACAUUUUGGAACCAGUGUUGAACGGUGCAUCAGUUGCCAUCCUCACCAUCCUACAAGAUGACGAUGUUGAUACGUCUGUACGAGAACAUGCAGUUGUGUUGGAAGGGGACAUCGUGCUACAUAACAUUCCAGAUCUCUCUACUGCCCUGGCAUACCUCUUUGGCCUUCUGUAUGCCCUCAACAUUGAUUAUCCAAAGCAGAUGAGUUUUACCUUUGAAGCAAUUCAGGCCAUCUUAUUUUGGCCUGGUCGGACAAUAUGAAGGUGAAGUGGAUAAAUCAUUAUUCGAAAUGUAAAUUUUAGUCAGAUGAAUCUGUAUUGUUGAGAAUAUAUGGUGAAAA